This 500-nucleotide ribosomal RNA is filed under the name Anaplasma platys. RNAcentral describes it as "bacterial SSU rRNA". It matches the Rfam family "Bacterial small subunit ribosomal RNA", at positions 73 to 605 of the family's 1533-position model. Lineage: Bacteria; Pseudomonadati; Pseudomonadota; Alphaproteobacteria; Rickettsiales; Anaplasmataceae. The record is from RNAcentral.
UCAUAGCUUGCUAUGAUAGAAAUUAGUGGCAGACGGGUGAGUAAUGCAUAGGAAUCUACCUAGUAGUAUGGGAUAGCCACUAGAAAUGGUGGGUAAUACUGUAUAAUCCCUGCGGGGGAAAGAUUUAUCGCUAUUAGAUGAGCCUAUGUUAGAUUAGCUAGUUGGUAGGGUAAAGGCCUACCAAGGCAGUGAUCUAUAGCUGGUCUGAGAGGAUGAUCAGCCACACUGGAACUGAGYUACGGUCCAGACUCCUACGGMAGGCAGCAGUGGGGAAUAUUGGACAAUGGGCGCAAGCCUGAUCCAGCUAUGCCGCGUGAGUGAGGAAGGCCUUAGGGUUGUAAAACUCUUUCAGUGGGGAAGAUAAUGACGGUACCUACAGAAGAAGUCCCGGCAAACUCCGUGCCAGCAGCCGCGGUAAUACGGAGGGGGCAAGCGUUGUUCGGAAUUAUUGGGCGUAAAGGGCAUGUAGGCGGUUCGGUAAGUUAAAGGUGAAAUGCCAG